AUGGUGAGUGCAGAUGCUGAAGUAAAUAUGGUCAAGGAAGCUGUGCUUCAAACUGAUAUGCCAACUGUAGUGAGCAGAGAGAUAACCAAUGUCAGAGAAGUUCAACAGAUCAAGGGGAAGACUCCCCUUUCAACAGUCCCACCAAAACCACCUAAGCAAAAGAUUGUCAAGUUUGCCAGGGGAGCAAAGGGGGAACAUGCCACAAAAGAUUUGGGGUUCAGAGACGAGAGAGAGCUGCGAGCCGCAGCCAUUGAUGCAGGGGUGCCAAGUUCUGCUAGGUUGCUGCCAACUCAGACUGGAAAGAUGCCAACUACAGAUACCAGUGUGCCAACUGAUGUGUCAGUUAGCAGCAUGGUCACAGUCAAAACCACCACAGCUGGUCAGGAAGGCACCAUUGCAACUGCAAGUCCCAAGGUGCCUACUCAUAGAGAUACUUCAAUGCCAAACACAAAAGGAGGUGAUCCAACUAUCAAAGUGCCGUCCCCAAGAGCUGACUUUCAGCAACCAUUAACACAAGAGGAGGUGUUUGACAUUAUAAGUAGGUGCAAGCCUCCAAGGCCGCCAACUACAACACUAUUGCGAACCAAGUCAGUGAAUGAUGCACCCGUGUUUGUGCCGCAAGGAGAUGCCCUGGUCCUUGAACCCUUACGAAGAUCAAACUCUUAUCAUGGUGACGGGUUCUGCGAUGCACCAUCUUUUGACCUCGACAUAGAUGGUGAUGCUCCAGCACCUGCUCCAGCAGCAGAAACAGCGAAAGCCGGUGUGAUCUGCAUCGAUGAGUCAUCUCAAAGGUCUCCAUUCAUCGACUACAACAAGAAGAAGACUUUCAGCACCAAUGAGGUAGUGAACAAGCUUUACGCCGCCCUCUUGUAUUGGGUCAGGCAUCACAAAGGAGCAAAUGAUGGAGCUACCAGGUAUGGUGCUUUCUACAUUUCUUUAAAGGAGUUAGUUUAUUCGAUGAAGCCGGCUCAAUGGUUGUCAAAAAUUGUUAUUGAGACUGGAAUCUUACACAUCAUGGAUAACUUACCAGAAGGGUCAAAGAAGGUUGUUAUGCCACUGAGGUUUUUUAUAAAAUUAUAG
This 1080-nucleotide ribosomal RNA is filed under the name Triticum aestivum (bread wheat). Its description in RNAcentral is "partial small subunit ribosomal RNA". The record is from RNAcentral. Lineage: Eukaryota; Viridiplantae; Streptophyta; Magnoliopsida; Poales; Poaceae.